AUCCCCUCAGCCUCCCCAGGAGAUGUUGCUUGAAACCUUCUGAAUUAUUAUUAUUAUUAUUACUAUUAUCAUUAUCAUCAUCCUUUCUGGUUGUUGAUAGGCAGUGAAACGUCUCAGCUCCGCAUGCUGUAGAAAUGCACCACCUGCCCCCUUCUCAUCCCGCCCCACGGUCGCUGAGCCAGGCUGUCGCCCUUCUGCCAGCCCUGGAUUCCCGAUCCAUUGCUAUAACCACCCCCUCCCGUUCUUUCACCUACCUACCCCGGGUGACUUCCAGGGAACGGCUGGCGUGAGACUGACCCAGGUCAUGUGACCACACGGAACACAGUUGGUGCACCCCUGGAAAAGAAAGAAGGGGAGACCCAGUCAGAACUCAGCAGUGUCUUCCUUCUUAGGGAUCCCAGAAACCUACAGCGAAAUUCAGAUUCAAGUGUGGAAGCAAAGCAUCGAGGGGAGAGGGGGCUAAGUAACAAAGAAAGAACAGGCGGACGAAUGAAAGAAAGGAAGGGAGAGAAGCACUAGGGCGGAAAUGAGAGGCUGAGCACAAGCCUCCGGACAGAGUCUGCGGCACUGCAGCAAGUGGGGGCAGUGAGCUACAGAGUGUGCGCCCAUGAUGCCUGCAACCAUGGAGCAUCUACACGUAGGAAGACAGGGGAUGGGAACGGAAUUAACCAAGAUGAAAACAGAUGCAUGAUAGGCUGUCAGGAUCACAGUAGUAUUUCCUCCAUUUUCUGGACUUUCUGUUCUCCACCGUCUUAAUAACAGAAAAGUGGAAGGAGUGAGGACGGGGAGUGUGGAUGAGGUGGGGCCAUGGCUGUCCCUUCCAAUUCCCUCCCACCCCAGAUCCCAGGCUUUCCCAGCUGGGAAAGGAAGCCUGGCGCUUUAUCUUCAGUUGGGUGUCCCGUGGUCUCUUCACCCAGAGUCCACUGGGCUUGAAGGAUGAGCAGAAGAAAAGUGGAAGCCAUGGAGAGGUGUCUGUAGGGCUGGGCGGAUCCCAGAGACCCUGGCGAGAAUUCCUUCUAAGUCAAGAAUUGCAGGAACAGCUCAGGACUGUUCUUAAGUCACUUAUCCUGGAGGUUCAAAUUCAACUUCUUUUUGAAUUGAAGUUAUUUUCUCCCUUUUUUUAUUGUACUGCCACCCCACCCCCACCCCCCAAUGGCAGCACAAAGGAAAUGAGUCUGGCCUGCAAAGAAUGAGGCAAAGAACCAAAAACGUCCCAUUGUCUAGAGGACAAUUAAGUACACAAAGCUUCGGGCUCUGAUGUCCCCUAGAUUUGAGUUGUCAUCCGCAUUUGGCAAUUUGGUUAACCCUGCUGGGCCUCAACCAUCUCCAGGGCUAAAUGAGGGUCAUUUAUCCUGCCUCGUUGGGUUGUGAUGAGAGUGAGAGGAAGCAUCUAGCGUUUGCAAUGUGUGUAAGAUGCUUUGAGCAUUUAAAUAGUCACAGGUGUAGUUCCCACUCCCUUCUGACCCCAGGAUUCCCACGCCUUCCUGUUCUCUUCCCUGGGCCUCUUCUACUUCCAAAGAACAGAGACUAACCCUCUGAGAUUACAUUCCUUGUUAUCACACGCCUUCGGGUAUGCCAUUGAUUAAAUCACAACCCAUAAAAUGUUCCAACCUCACACAAUAACAAAGUCUUGUAAAACACACUUGCCUGACAAGUUUCCUGUACCGAAAGCAGGUGUCGGGGAGCUGGGGAGGAAUGCUCACCAGGCCAGGACCCAGGGGGGUUCCAAGCUGAGGAACAUGCCACAAACACGUGGAGAGACUGAGCAAAGACACUGCUUCUCAGGUCUGUUUUCUCACCUAUAAAAUGUAGGGAAAUGAUCAGGAAUUUUAAAACACUCGGAACCAGAACUUUAAAAUUCUUCUCUGUUCCAACAGAAUCUUAACCAAAACCGAGAUACUCUGGUUGCGGCAGGGGCAGCGCCUGGUGACCCCUCCCGACUUGGUGGCUCUUGCUCCAUGAAGGUUGACCUUGAGGCUCAUCUGCAAAGUCACAGAACAGAAUUGGAAAGCACAGAUUUUUACACUGUCGUGAGCCACUUUGCAAUCUAAUAGUCCACAAUUAUACAGAUUUCUGUUCUACUUUGUCAAUAGCUAGACACGACAUGACUAUUUUUUUCGUUCCUUUUUUUUUUUUUUUUUUUUUUUUUUUAAGGAGCACGGGUGUGGCAUAUGGACAUUCCCAGGCUAGGGGUCAAAUCGGAGCUACAGCUUCCGGCCUACACCACAGCCACAGCAACACCAGGUCUGAGUUGCUGGCAGCCUACACCAUAGUUCACAGCAACAGCAAUGCUGGUUCCUUAAUCCAGUGAGCAAGGCCAGGGAUCGAACUCAUGUCUUCAUGGAUACUGGUUGGGUUCAUUACCACUGAGCCACAAUGGGAACUCCCAAGAUAUGACCAUUUAUUUUUUUAAAGUAUUUUCUUUUCUUUUUUUUUUUUUUUUUUUUUUUCUUUUCAGGGCUGCACCUGCGGCAUAUGGAUAUUCCCAAGCCAGGGGUCCAAUUGCCAGGGCAACACCAGAUCCUUAAUCCACUGAGCAAAGCCAGGGAUUGAACCCACAUCCUCAUGGACACUAUGUUGGGUUCUUAACCCACAGAGCCACAAUGGGAACUCCAUAUUUUCAAUUUAUAUCAAAGUAUGUUAUCACAUUGCUUCCGUCAUGUCCAUUUAUUGACAUUUUAAAAAUAUUCAAAUCAUAAUAUUGCCUUCCUGAGUGCCUGUCACUUCCUCCCCUCCCCCCUUCCCUUCCCUCCUCCUCCUCCCUCUUCUUCUUCUUCUCCUCUGAUUGUUUUAUUGUUCUCAUUGCUGCCCUUUCCCAGGAAAAAACUUCCCCUCUGGCUGACACUCUCCAUUGCUGAACUUCUCAGCCAGCUUCCACCCCAGGAUUGCCUUGUGUCUUAGAGAGAGAGGAAGGAGGCAGGCAAGGUAGAUGCUGGAUGCUCGUCACUGGGGAAUGCUUCUCCCUCUCCCCCAGGUGGUGUUUCUCAUUCCUAUUUCUGUCCCAAGCUCCUCCCCUCCCCUGGACCUCCUCUAAACUGGUCCAAGGCCCCCCUGGCAGUGGCGUUACCUCGGAGGCUUUUUAAAAGCACAGAUUCCUGGGUCUCAUCCCGUAUCUCCUGAAAUCAGAAUCUCUGAGGUUGGAAUCGAGGGAAGGCGAUGACAAAAUGAGCUCCCCAAGUGAUGUUUCAUCUCCUUACAUUUUGAAAACCACCUUUCAAGCCUCUCUCCCCAGUUUCUCCCAUCCCUCCACCUCCCUCCUUUGCUCUCAGUUUUCAUCCUAAUCACCAGCUAACUGGUGGAUGUCACUGCUACUUAAAUGUGCUCCCACUCUGGAUCCCUAAUCAUUCCCAUUGUGCUCCUCAAAGCUGAGUCAAGAAUGGCUGCCUUUUUAUCCCCCCCUCUCUCUACAUUAUAGAAGGAAGCAGGUCCCUGCCGCUUUUGUCAUCCCUCCUUCUGGGCCGAGCUCCAUUUGCUGGUGAACAGGGCUUAUCUUCACUCUCCCCCUCGAAAUACUGUAACAUUGAGCAUCCUUUCAUGUCUGUGCUUUUAAAGUAAAUCUUUGGACAAUUAAAGAUAUGAAAUGGCUAAAUAGAGUUCUGCGGGCGUUGUUCUCUCCUUUUUAAAGGUUUAAUCACACUUAAUGGCUCUCUUCAAAACUUGAAUUUUCCAUUUUGGUGUUUUGACUCCAUUGAAAGAGUUUACUAAUAUUCUUUCAAAAGUAUUCUCUGCUCAAAUGAGCUAUUCAAUAAAGUUUUAUGGCAGGCUAUAGGAUUGACGGCUAAAUGGAAAAUAAUUUAAAGGGAGAUCAGCAUCAGGGGUGCCGUUCAUUGCUACGGUUUUUGUUAGUCAAACCAUCAUCGUCAAUAUCGAGUCCAUUAAAAGUCGAUGGGAAGGAACAAGAUUAUCAUUUGGAUGUAAGGGAGACCAUUGCACAUGCAAUUUCAACAACCCCCUUUUCCUUGAAGAUCGGUUAUUGUUCAGCCUUGUGAGUCUAGAAAUAGGAAAAACCCUCUUUCUUCCCUUGCUUCCUCCCAUCUUCCUUCUCCACCUCUCUCUUUUCUUUCCUCCUGAAGAGCCGUGGACAAAAGAGUGGGGGUGAGUGAAAGGAACCAGUCAGAUUGUUUUGAACAAAUCGCCCUGACUCCAGUCUUGCUCCUGCCGAGUUCUCUCUGGUUCUCACUUGUCACCGUCAGGAGCAGGAAGCCGGCUGGACACGGAGGACCCCCUGGGUCAUACUCACAGUCCAAGUGAUAGAACUGGCUACUCACAGAGGAAAUUUAGUGGAAAAUAAAAGCCGGUACUCCCUGACAGCAUCUCUCUUAGCCCCUAGACUCUCUGAUGGGCUAAGUGAUAGGGGGAUGCGAGAGAUCCUAAAGAGAUACAUUGGCUCGGAAAAGAAAACCGAUGCUCUGUGACCUCAUUGGCACACCCCUCAUUGGCACACCCCUUCUCCCCGCUGCCCUCCAGCCGGCUUUCCUCAGUUCCUUCUUCCCACAAAGUGCCCGUGAGCACGUGCAGCAUGCCCAGGAGUGUGCUAAGUGCUAAGACAAGUUCAAUGACCACCUCACCCGAGCAGUUUCACAUUUGGCUGAAGAAACCACAAGUCAUGCAGAUAAUGGAAACUGCUCAGAAGACCUGAUCUGCGAUCCAGGCAUUGUCACCUGCUAACCAUGUGAUCUCUAGGAAGGCAUUUAACUUCUCUGAGACGCCCUGUUUCUCUUUCAAGAAGAGGGCUGCUGAGAUCAAGUAGCAUUCAUGACGCUCUGAAAGUAUCUCAUUAUUUGUUUGCUGUUUUACGUCCCUUCCUCUCCUCCCCCAAUGUAAACUCCAUGAGACCAGGAGGCUUGGCUAAUUAUUCACUUCUGUAUCUCUGUACCCAGGACAGAGGCUGGCACAGGGCAAAUACUCAGGAAAUAAUUGCUGAGUGGAUGCAUGGAUUCUGGUUAUAGAAAUCUUGAAGGCUGAACCACUGACCUACCAAGACUUGCUUGGUAGGAUUUAUGAUGUAGGGGAGAAGAAGAGUAUUUCAGGAGUUCCUGUUGUGGCCCAGGGGAAAUGAAUCCGACUAGGAACCAUGAGGUUUCAGGUUCGAUCCCUGGCUUCGCUCUGCGGGUUAAGGAUCCAGCAUUGCCAUAAGCUGUGGUGUAGGUCACAGACACGGCUCAGAUCUGGUGUUGCUGUGGCUCUGGCAUAGGCCGGCAGCAACAGCUCCGAAUAGACCCCUACCCCUAGCCUGGGAACCUCCAUAUGC
RNAcentral lists this long non-coding RNA (5251 nucleotides) under Sus scrofa (pig). RNAcentral's name for it is "lncRNA (ENSSSCG00000057408.1)". The record is from RNAcentral. Lineage: Eukaryota; Metazoa; Chordata; Mammalia; Artiodactyla; Suidae.